Molecule: ribosomal RNA, 465 nt
Filed under: uncultured bacterium
Lineage: Bacteria
Description: partial 16S ribosomal RNA
Rfam family: Bacterial small subunit ribosomal RNA
Source: RNAcentral
CCUACGGGUGGCAGCAGUGGGGAAUAUUGCGCAAUGGGCGAAAGCCUGACGCGGCGACGCCGCGUGAGGGAUGAAGGUCUUCGGAUCGUAAACCUCUGUCAGUAGGGAAGAACGGUCACUGUGCUAAUCAGCAGUGAAUUGACGGUACCUGCAAAGGAAGCACCGGCUAACUCCGUGCCAGCAGCCGCGGUAAUACGGAGGGGGCGAGCGUUAAUCGGAAUUACUGGGCGUAAAGCGCGCGUAGGCGGUAUGUCAAGUCAAGGGUGAAAGCCCCGGGCUCAACGUGGGAAGGGCCUUUGAAACUGGAAAACUGGAGUGUGUGAGAGGAUAGUGGAAUUCCAGGUGUAGGAGUGAAAUCCGCAGAUAUCUGGAGGAACAUCAGUGGCGAAGGCGACUAUCUGGUACAUAACUGAUGCUGAGGAGCGAAAGCGUGGGUAGCAAACAGGAUUAGAUACCCUAGUAGUC